GACGAAGGUGGCAAGCGUUACUCGGAAUUACUAGGUGUAAAGCGUGGGCAGGUGGUUUGGUAAGUCUGCUGUGAAAGCUCCUGGCUUAACUGGGAGAGGCCAGUGGAUACUGCCAGGCUUGAAUAUGGGAGAGGUGACUGGAAUUCCUGGUGUAGCGGUGAAAUGCGUAGAGAUCAGGAGGAACACCGGUGGCGAAGGCGCACAUCUGGCCCGAUACUGACGCUGAGGCGCGAAAGCUAGGGGAGCAAACGGG
This 253-nucleotide ribosomal RNA is filed under the name uncultured bacterium. RNAcentral describes it as "partial 16S ribosomal RNA". It matches the Rfam family "Bacterial small subunit ribosomal RNA", at positions 524 to 776 of the family's 1533-position model. The record is from RNAcentral.